This 91-nucleotide transfer RNA is filed under the name Cohnella kolymensis. Its description in RNAcentral is "tRNA-Ser". It matches the Rfam family "tRNA". Rfam says of the family: Transfer RNA (tRNA) molecules are approximately 80 nucleotides in length. Their secondary structure includes four short double-helical elements and three loops (D, anti-codon, and T loops). The record is from RNAcentral. RNAcentral also lists the same sequence under 1 other name. Lineage: Bacteria; Bacillati; Bacillota; Bacilli; Caryophanales; Paenibacillaceae.
GGAGAGAUACCCAAGUGGCUAUAAGGGGCUCCUCUGCUAAGGGAGUAGACGUGUCAUGCGUGCGAGGGUUCGAAUCCCUCUCUCUCCGCCA